CCUACGGGAGGCCGCAGUAGGGAAUUUUCGUCAAUGGGCGCAAGCCUGAACGAGCAAUGCCGCGUGAACGAGGAAGGUCUUCGGAUCGUAAAGUUCUGUUGAAGGGGAAAAAGAGCGGAGCGAGGAAAUGCUUUCUGAUUGAUAUUACCCUUCGAGGAAGUCACGGCUAACUACGUGCCAGCAGCCGCGGUAAUACGUAGGUGGCGAGCGUUAUCCGGAAUGAUUGGUCGUAAAGGGUGCGUAGGCGGCCUGCUAAGUCUGGAGUGAAAGGUACCGGCUCAACCGGUACAGGCUCUGGAAACUGGCGGGCGAGAGAGCAGGAGAGGGCGGUGGAACUCCAUGUGUAGCGGUAAAAUGCGUAGAUAUCGCGCAGAACCCAGAUUGCGAAGGCAGCGUGCCGUGCCGCCACUGACGCUGAGGCACGAAAGCGCGGGGAUCGAACAGGAUUAGAUACCCCAGUAGUC
This 464-nucleotide ribosomal RNA is filed under the name uncultured bacterium. Its description in RNAcentral is "partial 16S ribosomal RNA". It matches the Rfam family "Bacterial small subunit ribosomal RNA", at positions 338 to 795 of the family's 1533-position model. The record is from RNAcentral.